RNAcentral lists this ribosomal RNA (452 nucleotides) under uncultured Bifidobacterium sp. RNAcentral's name for it is "bacterial SSU rRNA". It matches the Rfam family "Bacterial small subunit ribosomal RNA", at positions 173 to 640 of the family's 1533-position model. Lineage: Bacteria; Bacillati; Actinomycetota; Actinomycetes; Bifidobacteriales; Bifidobacteriaceae. The record is from RNAcentral.
UUCCACAUGAUCGCAUGUGAUUGUGGGAAAGAUUCUAUCGGCGUGGGAUGGGGUCGCGUCCUAUCAGCUUGUUGGUGAGGUAACGGCUCACCAAGGCUUCGACGGGUAGCCGGCCUGAGAGGGCGACCGGCCACAUUGGGACUGAGAUACGGCCCAGACUCCUACGGGAGGCAGCAGUGGGGAAUAUUGCACAAUGGGCGCAAGCCUGAUGCAGCGACGCCGCGUGAGGGAUGGAGGCCUUCGGGUUGUAAACCUCUUUUGUUUGGGAGCAAGCCUUCGGGUGAGUGUACCUUUCGAAUAAGCGCCGGCUAACUACGUGCCAGCAGCCGCGGUAAUACGUAGGGCGCAAGCGUUAUCCGGAUUUAUUGGGCGUAAAGGGCUCGUAGGCGGCUCGUCGCGUCCGGUGUAAAAGUCCAUCGCUUAACGGUGGAUCUGCGCCGGGUACGGGCGGG